RNAcentral lists this ribosomal RNA (435 nucleotides) under uncultured bacterium. Its description in RNAcentral is "partial 16S ribosomal RNA". It matches the Rfam family "Bacterial small subunit ribosomal RNA", at positions 29 to 507 of the family's 1533-position model. The record is from RNAcentral.
AGCGAACGCUGGCGGCAGGCUUAACACAUGCAAGUCGAACGGGCUUCUUCGGAAGUCAGUGGCAGACGGGUGAGUAACACGUGGGAACGUGCCCUUCGGUUCGGAAUAACUCAGGGAAACUUGAGCUAAUACCGGAUACGCCCUUUUGGGGAAAGGUUUACUGCCGAAGGAUCGGCCCGCGUCUGAUUAGCUUGUUGGUGGGGUAACGGCCUACCAAGGCGACGAUCAGUAGCUGGUCUGAGAGGAUGAUCAGCCACACUGGGACUGAGACACGGCCCAGACUCCUACGGGAGGCAGCAGUGGGGAAUAUUGGACAAUGGGGGCAAGGCUGGACCAGCCAUGGCGGGGGAGUGGUGAAGGGCUUAGGGGUUGAAAGCUCUUUUUGCCGGGAAGGUAAUGACGGUACCGGAAGAAUAAGCCCCGGCUAACUUCGUG